Molecule: long non-coding RNA, 367 nt
Filed under: Gossypium barbadense (sea-island cotton)
Lineage: Eukaryota; Viridiplantae; Streptophyta; Magnoliopsida; Malvales; Malvaceae
Description: long non-coding RNA (GBAR_LNC003674)
Source: RNAcentral
UUGACUCAAAGAAAUAAUGUAGAGGCAUCACCCAAAGUUCUCAAACCACCUGCUCCCAGUCCGAGUUCAAAGUCUAAUGCAGAUACACCAACUGUUGCUUCAACAAAAUUGCCAUUAGAUUCUGCAAAAAGGAUACCAGAAUCACACCAUUUGAAGCACCAGGUAUGGCUGCUUCCAGUAAGUGUUCCUAUUUAAAUCUAUUAUGUUAUCAAUAUCCUCGCUUAUUUUGCAAGAUUCUGCUAUCCAGUUACCUUUAAUUGAAUCCUCCCCAAAGGCCAAACCUAGACAUGAAGGGAUUCCUCAGCCUGCGCCUGGGACGCAUGUUGCUGAAGAUGUACUACCUUCUAAGCCUAGGCAAACAACUCCU